RNAcentral lists this ribosomal RNA (557 nucleotides) under uncultured bacterium. RNAcentral describes it as "partial 16S ribosomal RNA". It matches the Rfam family "Bacterial small subunit ribosomal RNA", at positions 355 to 903 of the family's 1533-position model. The record is from RNAcentral.
UAGGGAAUCUUCCACAAUGGACGCAAGUCUGAUGGAGCAACGCCGCGUGAGUGAAGAAGGUUUUCGGACCGUAAAGCUCUGUUGUUGGUGAAGAAGGAUAGAGGUAGUAACUGGCCCUUUAUUUGACGGUAAUCAACCAGAAAGUCACGGCUAACUACGUGCCAGCAGCCGCGGUAAUCGUAGGUGGCAAGCGUUGUCCGGAUUUAUUGGGCGUAAAGCGAGCGCAGGCGGAAGAAUAAGUCUGAUGUGAAAGCCCUCGGCUUAACCGAGGAAUUGCAUCGGAAACUGUUUUCUUGAGUGCAGAAGAGGAGAGUAGAACUCCAUGUGUAGCGGUGGAAUGCGUAGAUAUAUGGAAGAAUACCAGUGGCGAAGGCGGCUCUCUGGUCUGCAACUGACGCUGAGGCUCGAAAGCAUGGGUAGCGAACAGGAUUAGAUACCCUGGUAGUCCAUGCCGUAAACGAUGAGUGCUAAGUGUUGGGAGGCUUCCGCCUCUCAGUGCUGCAGCUAACGCAUUAAGCACUCCGCCUGGGGGAGUACGACCGCAAGGUUGAAACUCU